This 84-nucleotide transfer RNA is filed under the name Singulisphaera acidiphila DSM 18658. RNAcentral describes it as "tRNA-Leu (GAG) (tRNA-Leu-GAG-2-1)". It matches the Rfam family "tRNA". Rfam says of the family: Transfer RNA (tRNA) molecules are approximately 80 nucleotides in length. Their secondary structure includes four short double-helical elements and three loops (D, anti-codon, and T loops). The record is from Rfam by way of RNAcentral. Lineage: Bacteria; Pseudomonadati; Planctomycetota; Planctomycetia; Isosphaerales; Isosphaeraceae.
GACCGGGUGGCGGAAUGGCAGACGCGCGAGUUCGAGAAGCUCGUGCCCAAGAUGGGCGUGGGAGUUCGACUCUCCCCUCGGUCA